AUUACGCUUGCAAAAGUGAAACUCAAAGGAAUUGACGGGGACCCGCACAAGCGGUGGAGUGUGUGGUUUAAUUCGAUGCAAUACGAAGAACCUUACCAGGGUUUGAAAUCAUUUCAAAACUCCUUGAAAGAGGAGCCUCCUUCGGGAUGAAAUGACAGGUGGUGCAUGGCUGUCGUCAGCUCGUGUUGUGAAAUGUCGAGUUAAGUCUCGUAACGAGCGCAACCCAUGUCUCUUGUUGCUCACUGAGUGCUUAAGAGAGACUGCCGACCAACAUCGGAGGAAGGUGUGGAUGAUGUCAAGUCAGCAUGCCCCUUACAUCCUGGGCUACACACGUACUACAAUGGUAAGGACAAUGAGCUGCGAUCCUGCGAAGGCUAGCCAAUCUCAAAAACCUUAUCUCAGUUCGGAUUGCACUCUGCAACUCGAGUGCAUGAAGGUGGAAUCGCUAGUAAUCGCUGGUCAGCUAUACAGCGGUGAAUACGUUCCCGGGUCUUGUACACACUGCCCGUCACACCAUGGAAGUCGACUCUUCCCUAAGUCGUUACUCGAACCCAUUGGGACGAGGAUGCCGAAGGCAGGGUUGGUGACUGGGGUGAAGUCGUAACAAGGUAACC
Molecule: ribosomal RNA, 614 nt
Filed under: uncultured phototrophic eukaryote
Lineage: Eukaryota
Description: bacterial SSU rRNA
Rfam family: Bacterial small subunit ribosomal RNA
Source: RNAcentral